This 253-nucleotide ribosomal RNA is filed under the name uncultured bacterium. RNAcentral describes it as "partial 16S ribosomal RNA". It matches the Rfam family "Bacterial small subunit ribosomal RNA", at positions 524 to 776 of the family's 1533-position model. The record is from RNAcentral.
GACGGAGGAUGCAAGCGUUAUCCGGAAUGAUUGGGCGUAAAGCGUCCGCAGGUGGCAGUUCAAGUCUGCUGUCAAAGACCGGGGCUUAACUUCGGAAAGGCAGUGGAAACUGAACAGUUAGAGUAUGGUAGGGGCAGAGGGAAUUCCUGGUGUAGCGGUGAAAUGCGUAGAGAUCAGGAAGAACAUCGGUGGCGAAGGCGCUCUGCUGGACCAUAACUGACACUCAGGGACGAAAGCUAGGGGAGCGAAUGGG